AGGAUGAACGCUGGCGGCGUGCCUAACACAUGCAAGUCGAACGUCCUGUCUCGCAAGAGGCAGGGAGUGGCGGACGGGUGAGUACCACGUGGGUUAUCUACCGUGAGGUGAGGAAUACCGGCGAGAAAUCGCCGACAAGACCGCAUAGCCUCGGUGCAAGCCGAGGAAAGCUUUCUCGAGAGAGGGAGCGCCACACGAGGAGCCUGCGCCCGAUUAGCUAGCUGGUGGAGUAACGGUUCACCAGGGCGACGAUCGGUAGCUGGUCUGAGAGGACGAUCAGCCACACUGGGAUUGAGAACGGCCCAGACUCCUACGGGGGGCAGCAGUGAGGAAUUUUCGUCAAUGGGGGCAACCCUGAACGAGCAACGCCGCGUGCAGGAAGAAGGUUUCGGAUCGUAAACUGCUUUUCUCGGGAAGAGAACGGACGGUACCCGAGGAAUCAGCCCCGGCUAACUACGUGCCAGCAGCCGCGGUAA
RNAcentral lists this ribosomal RNA (476 nucleotides) under uncultured bacterium. RNAcentral's name for it is "SSU rRNA". It matches the Rfam family "Bacterial small subunit ribosomal RNA", at positions 26 to 523 of the family's 1533-position model. The record is from RNAcentral.